RNAcentral lists this ribosomal RNA (657 nucleotides) under uncultured fungus. Its description in RNAcentral is "eukaryotic LSU rRNA". The stretch from base 162 to 315 matches the Rfam family "5.8S ribosomal RNA". The record is from RNAcentral. Lineage: Eukaryota; Fungi.
CACCUUUCUCUUUCAUCCACACACACCUGUGCACCUGGGAAAAAGAUUAAGGGAAUUUUCCCUUCUUUGAGGAGGAGGGGGAGGGACCCUGCUGUCUACUUAAUUUAUAUAAACUCAAUUUAUUUUAAAAUGAAUGUAAAGGAUGUAACACAUCUAAUACUAAGUUUCAACAACGGAUCUCUUGGCUCUCGCAUCGAUGAAAAACGCAGCGAAAUGCGAUAAGUAAUGUGAAUUGCAAAAUUCAGUGAAUCAUCGAAUCUUUGAACGCACCUUGCGCUCCUCGGUAUUCCUUGGAGCAUGCCUGUUUGAGUAUCGUGAAAUCUUCAAAGUAAAUCAUUUGUUCACUCAAUUGAUUCUACUUUGGUAAUGGAGGUUUACUGCAGCUUCACAUCUGCUCCUCUUUGUGCAUUAGCUGGAUUCUCAGUGUUAUGCUUGGUUCCACUCAGCGUGAUAAGUUAAUUAAUUGGCUGGGGACACCCCAUAACCAAAGGGGUGGCCGAGGUAAAUACAGAUGAACCCGCUUCUAAUAGUCCAUUGAUUUGGACAAAAUAAAUAAAUAAAUAUUAUGAUCUGAUCUCAAAUCAGGUAGGGCUACCCGCUGAACUUAAGCAUAUCAAUAAGCGGAGGAAAAGAAACUAACAAGGAUUCCCCUAGUAA